This 1371-nucleotide ribosomal RNA is filed under the name uncultured bacterium. RNAcentral describes it as "bacterial SSU rRNA". It matches the Rfam family "Bacterial small subunit ribosomal RNA", at positions 28 to 1381 of the family's 1533-position model. The record is from RNAcentral.
GAUGAACGCUGGCGGCGUGCCUAAUACAUGCAAGUCGAGCGAACGGACGAGAAGCUUGCUUCUCUGAUGUUAGCGGCGGACGGGUGAGUAACACGUGGAUAACCUACCUAUAAGACUGGGAUAACUUCGGGAAACCGGAGCUAAUACCGGAUAAUAUUUUGAACCGCAUGGUUCAAAAGUGAAAGACGGUCUUGCUGUCACUUAUAGAUGGAUCCGCGCUGCAUUAGCUAGUUGGUAAGGUAACGGCUUACCAAGGCAACGAUGCAUAGCCGACCUGAGAGGGUGAUCGGCCACACUGGAACUGAGACACGGUCCAGACUCCUACGGGAGGCAGCAGUAGGGAAUCUUCCGCAAUGGGCGAAAGCCUGACGGAGCAACGCCGCGUGAGUGAUGAAGGUCUUCGGAUCGUAAAACUCUGUUAUUAGGGAAGAACAUAUGUGUAAGUAACUGUGCACAUCUUGACGGUACCUAAUCAGAAAGCCACGGCUAACUACGUGCCAGCAGCCGCGGUAAUACGUAGGUGGCAAGCGUUAUCCGGAAUUUAUGGGCCGUAAGCGCGCGUAAGGCGUUUUUUAGUCUGAUGUGAAAGCCCACGGCUCACCCGUGGAGGGUCAUUGGAAACUGGAAAACUUGAGUGCAGAAGAGGAAAGUGGAAUUCCAUGUGUAGCGGUGAAAUGCGCAGAGAUAUGGAGGAACACCAGUGGCGAAGGCGACUUUCUGGUCUGUAACUGACGCUGAUGUGCGAAAGCGUGGGGAUCAAACAGGAUUAGAUACCCUGGUAGUCCACGCCGUAAACGAUGAGUGCUAAGUGUUAGGGGGUUUCCGCCCCUUAGUGCUGCAGCUAACGCAUUAAGCACUCCGCCUGGGGAGUACGACCGCAAGGUUGAAACUCAAAGGAAUUGACGGGGACCCGCACAAGCGGUGGAGCAUGUGGUUUAAUUCGAAGCAACGCGAAGAACCUUACCAAAUCUUGACAUCCUUUGACAACUCUAGAGAUAGAGCCUUCCCCUUCGGGGGACAAAGUGACAGGUGGUGCAUGGUUGUCGUCAGCUCGUGUCGUGAGAUGUUGGGUUAAGUCCCGCAACGAGCGCAACCCUUAAGCUUAGUUGCCAUCAUUAAGUUGGGCACUCUAAGUUGACUGCCGGUGACAAACCGGAGGAAGGUGGGGAUGACGUCAAAUCAUCAUGCCCCUUAUGAUUUGGGCUACACACGUGCUACAAUGGACAAUACAAAGGGCAGCGAAACCGCGAGGUCAAGCAAAUCCCAUAAAGUUGUCCUCAGUUCGGAUUGUAGUCUGCAACUCGACUACAUGAAGCUGGAAUCGCUAGUAAUCGUAGAUCAGCAUGCUACGGUGAAUACGUUCCCGGGUCU